RNAcentral lists this transfer RNA (71 nucleotides) under Loxodonta africana (African savanna elephant). It matches the Rfam family "tRNA". From Rfam's summary of the family: Transfer RNA (tRNA) molecules are approximately 80 nucleotides in length. Their secondary structure includes four short double-helical elements and three loops (D, anti-codon, and T loops). The record is from Rfam by way of RNAcentral. Lineage: Eukaryota; Metazoa; Chordata; Mammalia; Proboscidea; Elephantidae.
GCUUUGGUGGUUCACUAGUAGAAUUUUUGGCUUCCAUUUAGGAGAUCUGGGUUCAAUUUCCAGCCAGUGCU